UGGAUGAUGUGGAUUAAUUCGAUGCAACGCGAAAAACUUACCUAUCCUUUGACAUGUCCGGAAUCCCGAAGAGAUUUGGGAGUGCUCGCAAGAGAGCCGGAACACAGGUGCUGCAUGGCUGUCGUCAGCUCGUGUCGUGAGAUGUUGGGUUAAGUCCCGCAACGAGCGCAACCCUUGUCAUUAGUUGCCAUCAUUUGGUUGGGCACUCUAAUGAGACUGCCGGUGACAAACCGGAGGAAGUGGGGAUGACGUCAAGUCCUCAUGGCCCUUAUGGGUAGGGCUUCACACGUCAUACAAUGGUCGGUACAGAGGGUUGCCAAGCCGCGAGGUGGAGCCAAUCCCAGAAAGCCGAUCGUAGUCCGGAUUGUUCUCUGCAACUCGAGAGCAUGAAGUCGGAAUCGCUAGUAAUCGCGGAUCAGCAUGUCGCGGUGAAUACGUUCCCGGGUCUU
RNAcentral lists this ribosomal RNA (449 nucleotides) under uncultured Thiobacillus sp. Its description in RNAcentral is "bacterial SSU rRNA". It matches the Rfam family "Bacterial small subunit ribosomal RNA", at positions 933 to 1382 of the family's 1533-position model. Lineage: Bacteria; Pseudomonadati; Pseudomonadota; Betaproteobacteria; Nitrosomonadales; Thiobacillaceae. The record is from RNAcentral.